This 741-nucleotide ribosomal RNA is filed under the name Neobacillus soli. RNAcentral describes it as "bacterial SSU rRNA". The record is from RNAcentral. Lineage: Bacteria; Bacillati; Bacillota; Bacilli; Caryophanales; Bacillaceae.
UUGGUUAGCGGCGGACGGGUGAGUAACACGUGGGCAACCUGCCUGUAAGACUGGGAUAACUUCGGGAAACCGGAGCUAAUACCGGAUAAUUCUUUUCCUCUCAUGAGGAAAAGCUGAAAGUCGGUUUCGGCUGACACUUACAGAUGGGCCCGCGGCGCAUUAGCUAGUUGGUGAGGUAACGGCUCACCAAGGCGACGAUGCGUAACCGACCUGAGAGGGUGAUCGGCCACACUGGGACUGAAACACGGCCCAGACUCCUACGGGAGGCAGCAGUAGGGAAUCUUCCACAAUGGACGAAAGUCUGAUGGARCAACGCCGCGUGAGCGAUGAAGGCCUUCGGGUCGUAAAGCUCUGUUGUUAGGGAAGAACAAGUAUCGGAAUAACUGCCGGUACCUUGACGGUACCUAACCAGAAAGCCACGGCUAACUACGUGCCAGCAGCCGCGGUAAUACGUAGGUGGCAAGCGUUGUCCGGAAUUAUUGGGCGUAAAGCGCGCGCAGGCGGUCCUUUAAGUCUGAUGUGAAAGCCCACGGCUCAACCGUGGAAGGUCAUUGGAAACUGGGGGACUUGAGUGCAGAAGAAGAAAGCGGAAUUCCACGUGUAGCGGUGAAAUGCGUAGAGAUGUGGAGGAACACCAGUGGCGAAGGCGGCUUUCUGGUCUGUAACUGACGCUGAAGCGCGAAAGCGUGGGGAGCAAACAGGAUUAGAUACCCUGGUAGUCCACGCCGUAAACGAUGAGUG